Molecule: non-coding RNA, 1271 nt
Organism: Coffea arabica (coffee)
Lineage: Eukaryota; Viridiplantae; Streptophyta; Magnoliopsida; Gentianales; Rubiaceae
Source: RefSeq, a predicted model, not a curated record
CUUUAAAGUUAUCUACCUUCUUCUUAUUCAGUUCCCAGUUCCAAUGAUACGAUUGAAUUCCCAGGCAAAGGUUUCCACUUUGAUCCACACUUUCUCUUUGUUACAAUUGAAUAAAUCUUCUCACUUCAAAAUUUUCAUCUUUAGUUCACACUUUGCUUCUAUCCUUUCUCAUCGUUCGGUUGGGUUUGAGUGCUGCCAUAUGCAAACACAACAAAAGGGUUAGCGACGGUGGUAGCCAGCCAAAGAGCAUAUGAAAAAUAGCAGUGACGAGGCAAAGGUUUCCACUUUGGUCCAUACUUUCUCUUGGUCCAAUUGUUGUUGCUACAAAGGGACAAAAGGCAAAACAGUCCACUCACAAGCGAAAGCGAAGACGAUGCAAAAAUUGCAAGUCAUUUGGACAUGAUAGACGAAAAUGUACUAAAGUGUGCACAGAUGCAUAUGAAACUCACAAUUAUGAUCAUGUUGGGGCACCCAAUAAUGUUGAGAAUGUAAAUUUGAAUCUGAUAGGAUCAUCCGAUGGCCUAUUGCAAUCAGAUUCACAGCAUGGAUGCAAUAAGGAAUUAAUGGAUAGUAAUUGGUUUCAGAUCAUUCCUCCUGGUCAGCUUGUUAGGAGAUGAAAAGUAUUCAGUGAAUGAACCAGAUUUCAGCCAAGACCAUUAAGGAAUUUUAUUCUUGAGAGAGUACAAAUGUUUUUGCACGUCUUUGCUCAAAGCUUUUAGGAUGAUUUAAGUUUCUUCGAAGCUUGCUUGGAAAAAAGUUUGGUGAUCAAAUUUCAGAUAUUGUUAGCAUCCAAGUGCUCUUGGGUUUGUAAACCAGAAAUGUCAAUCCAAACUGAAGCUUUUGAUAGUGAUAUCAGAGCCCUUGAUGCUGGUGAUCAAAUUCUCAAAUCAAGUUACUAGCCUUUUGAUUGCUUCAGAUUUCUGAAGCCAAAGUCUUUGUGCUCUAAAUUCAGUUCUUGGCCAUGUAAUCUUGUCAUGCUUAGAUAGCUAUAUCUAGUGUCCUGCCAGCUUAAUUUUGAUGCGUAAGUAUCAAUUAUUAAAAGUUAGAUUCAUUCUGAUGCUCAAAAUGAGCCGUUUUCUCCUAUUUUGAAAUACCAAUUUCAUAUCAAAUGUCUUGUGCAUGUAGAUUUUGCUGUUUACUUCAAAUUGGACUGGCUUACUUGAUGAGCAGAACUCGAAAAGCAACUCAAAUACUCAUGUUAUACAAUACUCAGCACACGGUUUUUUAGGCUUUAAAACGUCAUUAAUGAAAGUUACCCAUUCGGUUGUUUA